This 888-nucleotide ribosomal RNA is filed under the name Triticum aestivum (bread wheat). RNAcentral describes it as "partial small subunit ribosomal RNA". Lineage: Eukaryota; Viridiplantae; Streptophyta; Magnoliopsida; Poales; Poaceae. The record is from RNAcentral.
GACAGACCAUGGAAAGGAUCGCCGACUCCAUGUGACGAUAUUGACCACCAGCGCUUCUCCAGCUGCACUUCCCUGCAAUUGGGGGAUGGCAGCGUUGCUGUUUUUUGGAAGGAUCGCUGGCUCAAUGGUGAGACCCCUAACCAACUGUCCCCCGACAUUUUCAAGCUUGCCAGAUUCAAAUCUCUGACAGUCAGAGAGGCUUUGUGCAAUGGGCGGUGGAUGCAAGGGUUGCAAAGAAUGGACAACAAUGAUCAACUCUGUGAAUUUGUCAGUUUGUGGGAAAAAUUACAGUUGAUUACUCUCUCGGCUCAUCGAGACAAAAUCAAAUGGACAAUCACUACAAAUGGACGUUACUCGGCCUGCUCUGCUUAUGAGAUCCAGUUCGCUGCACGGAUUGAGUAGCCUGGGAUUGCACGGGUGUGGAGAACAAAGCUCGAGGGCAAGGUUCGGUUCUACAUCUGGCUGUUGCUGCAGAACCGAAAUUGGACCGCCAACAGGCUGCAGGCUAGAGGAUGGCCACACAAUGCCUGUUGUCGGUUGUGUGACCAGGAGCCAGAAACUGCGGAGCAUAUCACGCUGCGAUGCAGCUAUCCAAGAGAGGUUUGGUACCUAGCCCAGGGCACAAGUGACAGGAUUUACAAUGUGGUACACUCUGCAAUUUCAGUUUCAGAUUGGUGGAAGAGACUCUAUUUGCAUCGCGGUGCGCAAUCCAAGGUUGCCGAGGAAACAUCCCUCUCAGCAUACAUUGCUUGGCAUCUUUGGAAGGAACGGAACAGAAGGGUUUUUGAAAAUGCUAAGAUGACGCCAAGAGCCUUGGUGAAUCUCAUUCAAGAAGAUUUCAAGAUGCUCAACGAGGCCUUCCGUCCUUCCAUUCAGGUGGCUGGGUAG